GCCUCUGUUGUGGGCCCUGGGGGUUCUCCAUGUCAUCUUCAAAAUCAAACUCACCAUCGAGGGUCCAGCUUGGACCACUACCGGACUGCAUUGCCUGCUUGUGGAGCCAUUGUUGGCAAGCUUUCAGGUGUUGUGCUUGCUGAAACUCCUUCCUACAUUUUGGAAUCCUAAAUGGGCCGGCUGGGUUUGUGGCAUCUUCAUCGACUUCCACAACCGUCCUGUAGACGGAGGCAUUGGUGAGAAGGAAGAAAAAGGCGAGAGUUGCCGAGACGAGGAAGAGCUUGUUCGCCAUUUGUGUAUGUUUUUAACUUUGUUUGUUAUGAUGAGUUUUGGUUUGAGUAAAGAGUGAAGCUGUUAAGUUAAUUUAUAGGUGAGAAUGGAGAUUUGCAUGGCGAUCACGUGUAAUAAUGCAUGCAUUUGUGUGUGCUGUGAGAGAGAAGCUCUUAGGUGUUUGAAGUGAGUGACAAAUGACGAACAAAAACAGUCGUCCGCAUCUGCAUGCUAUGUGUGAUGUGUAGCUCAUGUCCUGGCGUAACAUCUUAUGAACGAUAUUUUUCAAAAAGAAGCUAACUUCAUAAAAUAAAAAACCUUCAGUAAGUGGGAUGACAGUCUAUAUACUUUGGAGGUAGUGCGGGGGCGGUUGAAAAUAUAUAUUGGGAGCUUAAUGAGAAUUCAGUAAUAGUAUAGAAGAUCUAUUGUAUGGUGAAAAUUAAAUGUGUCUCGUAGACUCGUACAAUAUGUAAUAAAUGCAGUAGAGCCUCUAGUGUAUGGACGAAUGUAUGGGUGCAAAUGCAAAUUAUGCAAUUGUACCCACUAUUUUUUCUAAAAAGAAAUAUUUUUUUUUUGGUAAAAUGUUAAAUUGAAAAGAUAUAUUUUCUAAAACAUUGUUAAAAUCUAACAAAAAUAGGCAAAAUUAACCUAGCAACCAGUAUUUUGUUGGUUUGCCCCCUCUGCUUUCACCAUUUUUUUGUUCUUCUUCUUACAUUUACUUCAAUGAAUGUUCAAAUUUAUUUGAUUUAAAACAUUUACUUCUAUGCUUUCUGCCAUUACGUUCACGCCAAAUAGUGUGUACACCACCAGAGCCGAGCCUGCGGACAGUUUUAUUAAAUUUUAUUUUUUUUGAACAAAGUUCGAUAGUUUUGUUUUGUGAUCGCGUCUUCAACGUUUUAUUAAACUUUUGAAUGAAGCCUUCAUGCUUUAUAGGAGCUCCACUAAAAAAUAAUAUAUAUGUAUAUGUAUUUUUAUUUUUGGUAUAAUAACAUAUAAAUAUUAGCUGUGAAAUAAAUACUGAAUGAAAUUUUGAGUUGACAAAAAUGAUAAAAUAUAUUAUUUAUAAACUUUAUAAAAAUAUUAAUUAUCAGGGCCCCGAAAAUCUCAAAAUCGGCUGGACACCACUGCUUGAAACAUGUAUCACAAAAUGAAGAGAAUGGUUAUGUCCCAACCAUCAUCCACCAAGAGUUGAACAAUAUAUAGUAUUAGGUAUUUAGCAUUAUUAAAGAUAUAGAUGAUCAAUGAUAAAGAAAUUUACUACCUUUGCUAUCAAAGUACUGUUUAUAAGUAAAGGCAACAUCAGUAUAUUUGCAGGAAUUUAGUGGAUACAUGAGAUUGACAGAUGCAUGGUGAUCUAAAAGAGUUUGUUAGUAUUUUUGUUUUUUUAGAAAGGAAGAGUUUCCAAGUACUUUUGCAAAAAAUAUAAAAUAAAAGAGUUUAGAAGUAUUUGACUAUACCAGAUUUCAGUCAUUGAUUGAUCCCAGUGGAUGAUUUUUUAUUAUUGGCCCCGAAUGCUUAUAUUAACACUAGUUGUUUGUCCGCGCGAACGAUGAUAUUUAUUUUAUUGAUGGUGUUAAAUCUUUUAUUAAUAUAGCUUAAAAUAUUAGAUGGUUAACUAAUGUGAUAUCUUUAAAAAAUUUGUUUAUAAGUUUCUUGGUAAAAUGUUUUGGGGUUGAUCAACAUGUUUUUUUCCCUUGUGACCAUCAUGUUUGUUUCGUUUUUUGAUAUACAAUAAUUUUAGAGUAGCUGUUUUUCCAUCCCAUAAUUUCAACCACACAAAUGUGGAUCUGCUUCAUUUUUGUUAUAAAUUUUUUUCUAUUUUAAACUUGUUCAAGUGUAAGGUUAUGUCCACCUCAUUUUUUUUGUCGAUGAAAGGAACAUAUCUGUUCAACUGUGAUGACUUCGGUAGCGUAGGAGGUAUAGUGGAAGUUUUUGUGCACGUUAAUGCCGUGGGUGAAGGUGCUGAGUUCUUUUUGGCUCUGCUGCACACUCUGUUUUAUUGUAUGUGGCUCUGUUCAAAUAUAUGAAAUGAUCCAGUUUGGGGAGGGGGGAAGGUUAUGUCCACCUCCUUCACUCUGGUGUAUUUGAUAAACAGCGACAUAACCACCAAGUUCCCAUAAUGCCAUAACAGCCUCUGUACCCAGUUAAACCUCUAAUCACCUCCAAAGCCAUGGAACUAAUCGAAAUAGGAAGCUUUAACUUAUUUUACAGUAAAGCUUAGAAGAGUCAAACCAUCAAAAUCCAAAAAUAAUUACGAAAUCAGCAGAAGAAAAACUAACAUGCUAAAGUCUUUUGAGUAUCGUUGGCAAAUUUGGGAGGUAAAAUCUACACAAUGCAAGUUUAAGGCCUUUUUGUUUUUCAAUCUUCAUCUGAGAUUCUGAGCCCGACUCUUUGGAACUCGACCCAUCUUGUUUACUAUCUUUGAACCUUUUUUUGGGUCGAAUGAUCCUUUCCUCUUAUCUUCUUCGUCCUCACUAUAUUUGCUUUCAUAAUUCACUUCAUUCUCAUCUUCUUGUGAAGCCUCACCCUCAAAAUCAUUGGUUCUUUUCAAAACCUCGACUUUCAGUGAUGUCUUUCGAUCACAACUGAUCCAAGCAUCUCCUAGGUAGAACUCAUAAGCAAAUCAAAUAAUAAGUAUCUUCUGCACGUUUUAGGCAUUUCUUUAUUACCAAUCUUGAUCGGCUUUUAACCUUCUCUAACUUCAUUGUUCUUUGCCUCGACGCCAUAAUAUUUCCGCAAAACAAUCAUUAUAUCAAGAACCAAUAAAGGUUUAUUGAUCUCCUCAGAUUUGCAGUAGCCACUUACCAUAAAAUUAGAAGAUGUGGCAUCAUGAACAACACCAGAAACUUGAGGAAACCAAAUCUUGUUGACCUGACCUGUCCGGAAAACAAUAAACUGUGAAAGAACAUUUCCUAAAAUUUUAAAGGAAAAGUCUUGCCACCAUUGAAAUACCGCCAACCCAUUAAACUGAUAUAGCAUCUAUAAGAGCACCUGUAACGGGGGUACAUGCAGGGUCCUUAGCGUUUAAUCAUAGGUUAGGAGGAUUAUAAUAAUAGUUGUUUGGUUAAUAGGAGUAAGGAUUGAUACGUUAAUAAGGAUUUUUAGGACUUGAUCCUUAGGGUACGUGGCGUGUUUUGAAUGGAUGGAAGGGUUUACGGUUUGGUUACGCGUAAAACAUUGGUUAUACUCGACCGAAGCAGAAAAAAAAAUAGUCCCGACGAAGAAAGGCGAUUGCUCUCGACGAAGCGAAGGCGAAUCCCGCUACGAAAGACGGCGAUUCCCGCGGCGAAAGACGGCGAUUUGUCUCCGUUGGCUGAACAAGGUAAAUCGCACCCUUCUGAUGUAGAUUAAUCGAUAUAGAUUAGUUUGCAUGUUGAAUCGAUCUCGUUUGAAAUUAGGGUUCGAACAUAAUUUGGGGGUUUGUUGCGUUUGUACUUAACGGUUUGAAAACGAUACUGCUUUCAUCGAUUUCGGGUUCUUCUCGUUUGAAAUUAGGGUUUCAAUUCAGAUUUGGGGCUUUUUGCGUUUGUACUAAUCGGUUUGAAAACGAUUUGCGUUUGUACUAAUCGGUUUGAAAACGAUACUGCUAGCAUCGAUUUGGGGUUCUUCUGGUUUGAAAUUAGGGCUUCAAAAGGAUUUGGGGCUUUUUGAGUUUGUAUUAAUUGGUUCGAAAAAUAUCCUUAGCGUUUCUUUCUUGCACAGUUUUGCUAGCUACAACUCAACUAUCUGUUUGAGUGUAUUGAGUUUAUGUGUUUGUUGUUAAGGAUUACAAGUAGAAGUUCAGUUUUCUGUGAGACAUAAAAAAAAGCUUCCUAAUUUGUUCUCUCGGAUGAGCUGCAAGUUUAUGAUCAUGUGUGUGUGUGUGUUGUUAGGAUUUGUUUAGCUCUGUUCUUAAUUUUUUUUUUCAUUCUCUCUUAUGUUUAGCUCUGUUCUUAAUUUUUUUUUUCUUGCAGGUUAACGAAUAUGGGACAAGAUUAUUCAUACAGCCAGCCUUUCUCAUCAUCAGACUCGAUGGACAUUACCUCCCUUCUUCAAGCAGAAGCUUAGUUGUAUGCGGAUGAAGGUCAGAGUAGCUACAAUAAUCCAGAGCCGGUUCAGUACCCACCUCAACCAGAGGCAGAUGAUGGAAUCCCGAGGCUAUGCUACUGUGGUGGUGAGCCUGUUGUUGCAACAUCCUCCACUCAUAAAGAUCCCGGCAGGAGGUACUUCACAUGCGAGAAUGUGGAUGAUGGAGACUGCCACAUCUGGAAAUGGUGGGAUGUUGCGGUCACAGAGGAGAUGAGCGAGUUGCAGAGACAACUUAGGCUGCUUAAGGAUCAAGGCAAUGCGAGUGAGCAUAAGCUUAUGCUGCUAGAGAAGAGUGUGUUUGAGUUAUCUAACCAGAAAUCAGGAGUUACGCUAAUGAGAGUGAGCAGAAGCUGGUGCUGUCUAUUAGUUUUAAUAGGUUCCGUGUUCUUGUUACUGUGUGGUGAGUAUAUCUCCUUGUGCUUUUCGUAGUUCAUUUUUUAAUAUUCUGCGUGGUGAGUUCGUUGACUAUUUUUUCUCUUUCUUUUCAGGAUUAGCUUCAAACGAGAGUGUCUCAAAGAACCAAUGUCAUUACUAACAAGGUACGCCCACUUGAAUAAAAGCAAUUAGUCAUUUAAUGAAGGUGAAUUGAUUUCUACCGUCGUAACUCCUCGGAUUUGAUCGGUUAUAAAUGUUAGCGUUUAGAAAUAGUGAACUGAAGACUCUAGCUUGCUAGGAUUGUACUAACUAGUCGGAUUUGAUUGGUGAUAAAUGCUAGUUCUUUGCUUCCUAUCUUCCUAACUGCUCAGAUUUUAAUUGCUUUAAUUGAAAAAAAAAAUGUAAAUGGCUUACUUAAGACUCUGUGUUGCUAAUAGAGCGACACAACCAUUCUCUAACCAUGGAUAACACCACUGGUUUUGUUAACCUACUUUAUAGUCAAUCUCCAUUUGAAAUUGAUUCAACACAACCUGCUGCCGAGUCCGGUUCGAAGGAGAGGAGGAAAUGGUCACUGAAAGCGGAUCAAAUCCUCAUUGGGGCUUGGCUUAACACAAGUAAAGAUUAUGUGGUCAGCAAUGAGCAAAAAGCUAGUGCUUUUUGGAAGAGGAUUGUUCAAUACUACAACGCGAGCCCUUAUCUGGCUGGGACUAUACCUAGAGAGCUUGGGCAGUGCAAGCAGAGGUGGGCUAGGAUAAAUGAGCAAGUCUGCAAGUUUGUUGGGAGCUAUGACGCGGCUCUUAGGGCACAGAGAAGUGGUCAAAACGAUGAUGAUGUGAUGAGAGCUGCCCAAGAGUUCUUCUUCAACGAUCACGGAGUCAAGUUCAGCAUGGAACAUGCCUGGAGGGAGCUGAGGCAUGACCAGAAAUGGUGCUCCACCUAUGUGACUAAGGACGGUGGGAGUCAAAAGCGCAAACCAGUCCAGGCGGAGGUUGAUAGACAAGCGGAAGUGGGAGAACCAGAGGAAAGACCAGUCGGGGUCAAGGCAGCUAAAGGUGUUACCAAGAAGAAGAAGAGUGCUAGAGAAGAAGAAUUGUCACAGUUACAGGGCGUGUUGGAAGUUAAAGAAAAACUCGCUAGGCAUAAGUUGCUUGAUCGUUUACUCGGGAAAAAAGAGCCUCUAUCUGAGAUGGAGACAUCUCUUAAGCUCAAACUAAUGUCUGAGAUGCUAUAAACUGAUGUUAACCGUAUGUUAAGUUGUGACUGUUGUUUUGUGUACUUGUUUACUAUUAAACUUCGCUCACUCUUGUCUUUUGUGUUGUUGCAGGGUCAUGUGAACGAAGUCACGGGUGCAUUUGGUGUUGUGAAAGUCUUUUGUUGUUUAGCUCAAGUGAAUCAAGUCACGAGAUUCUAUCUAUGUACUAUAAGUAGUUGUCAUUUGCACGUCUUUAGCUAUGUAUCUCUUUCGCUUUGCUUCCUCUUCAUCAGAACUUGUAUCUUCUUGUUUCAGUACAACAAAUUGCUUCUCUUGUAAUAUUUUCGUUUUAGUACAACAAGUUGCUUCUCUUGCUUGGAUUUCUAUCCAACGAUCUCAAGUUCUGAUUCUAUUUAACUACAACUACAUUAUCUAUAGGUAACACUGGUUCUCCUCUUUUAUAUACCGAGAUUGUGUAGUAUCUAAAUCAUUUGUAGUAUAUUCUUCAGUAACUUGUGUAGUAUAUACUUACUAAACUAGAGAAUUAUAUAAUUCAUUUGAGAAACUUUGAAGUUAAUCUGAUCACUAAACUUGUCAAGUAUAUUUGAGAAAUUUUAGUUCCAAAGUUAAUCUGAUCUCAAGUUUUGUUAAAUCAUUUGUAGUAUAUUUUUUUUGUAACAAAACUUUGGAACUAAAAUAUAGAACUAAAAACGUAUUUUUUUUUUGGAACAAAACUUUGGAAUUAAAAUAUACAACUAAAAACCUAUUUUUAAAGGAAGGAUCCCUAAAAAAUGUCAUCCUCUUCAUCCGAUGAAGUCGAAGAAAGACUGGAUGAAUUAUUCGAUGAAAUCGUCGAAGAUACAUACAACGACAUUAUGGAGGGCCAAACCUAUAAGCAAAGGAAACGUGCUUACAUAGAACGAAACCGUGAAGCCGGACACAACCGUUUAUGGAAUGACUAUUUCAGCGAAGAAGCGACAUUCUCGACACAUUUAUUCAGACGUCGUUUCCGCAUGAGUAAGGAAUUAUUCAUGCGUAUUGUCCAUGCCCUCUCAGAGAACGUUCCUUUCUUUCGACAAAGAAGAGAAGCAACCGGGAGGUUGGGCCUGUCUCCACUACAAAAAUGUAUGGCAGCUGUUCGUCUGCUUGCUUAUGGUUCUGGGGCUGACACGGUAGACGAAUAUCUUCGACUUGGAGAAAGCACGGCACUUUCGUGUCUACACCAUUUCACUGAAGGAAUAAUACUGUUAUUUGGAGAUGAGUAUCUACGAAGACCCACACCAGAGGAUCUUCAACGACUCCUCGAUAUUGGAGAGAAGCGCGGGUUUCCCGGGAUGGUAGGAAGCAUUGACUGUAUGCAUUAGGAGUGGAAGAAUUGCCCAACCGCUUGGAAAGGGCAGUACGCACGUGGAUCAGGAAACCCGACAAUUGUCUUAGAGGCUGUGGCUUCACAAAAUCUUUGGAUAUGGCACACCUUUUUUGGUCCUCCAGGUAUCUUAAACGAUAUUAAUGUCCUCGAUCGGUCUCCUAUUUUUGAUGACAUUUUUCAAGGCCGAGCUCCCAGGUUAGAGUAUGUGGUCAACGGACACAUGUAUAAGUUGACUUACUACCUCACAGACGGUAUAUAUCCCAAAUAGUCAACAUUUAUCCAAUCUAUCUCGCACCCUCAAGGUCCUAAAGCAAAGUUAUUUGCUAGAAUUCAAGAAACAACCCGAAAAGAUGUGAAACGGGCGUUUGGAGUAUUACAAGUUCGAUUUGCGAUUGUCAAAAUCCGGCUCUUUCAAUGGACAAAGAAAAGAUAGGGAAGAUUAUGAGAGCAUGUAUCAUACUACACAAUAUGAUUGUCGAAAAUAAACGAGAUGGAUACAUUCAAUUCGAUAUAUCUGAAUUUCAAGAGGGAGACGUCACUAGAAGUUCACGGUGGAUACCGACAGGCCUACAACUAUUGCUAAUAUGCUCGGCAUUCGGGAUGAUGGAUAAGCGUUUACAUCAACGUUUGAAAAAUGAUUUAAUUGAAAAUAUUUAGAACCAAUUUGUUGAUUGUUGGUUAAUAAAUAUUGUAUCUUUAUCUUUAAUAAUGCAAUAAAUAAAAAUUUUAAUUUCACUUUUAUAAAAAAGUUUAUUAUUUUUAUAUUCCUAAGAACUCCAAAUUGGAGAACAUCAUUGGACUAACAAUUCUGAUUAUGAUCCUUAACUAUUCAAAAAAAAGAAAAUAGUUAAUUAAUCCUAAGGACUCCAUUUGCUGGUACACUAUUGCGGGUGCUCUAAACAAUCCAUCAUCGGCAUUUCCUAGAAAUCAGUUCUGAUCUGAAUCUAUAAGAAAUUACAUUGUAAUAAAGGCUAACUUCCUCUCCAAGUGAUGUUUUACCUUUCAUACGGUUGUGUUGCAGUGGAUAUUAAGUUGGGAAGAAAGUAAGUGUGAGGCCAAAGUGGUUUGUUCCGGCUUGCAAUGUUUGAACUUGUUCACCCUCUUCAAGUCAAUCCUUCCUAAGAUUUGCUGUUAAUUUUGACCCGGCUGUUGCUCCGCGGCGAUAUGGAAACAUCCCUUAUAUAUUAAUUGAGGAACAUUUGAAAAGAUGUAACCUCAAUUUUGUAUUAAUUAAAAGAGGCUCCAAUGCAUAGGUGGCACUCAAUUAGGUAGUCAAUUACAUUCAAUUGAAAAAUAAGUAGGUCCACAUUCGAUUUUUAUAUGUUGUUAGAUACAUAAAUUGGUCAAACUAUAUGAUAUAAUGAUAUGAUAUGAUAUUUUCUUUCCUUAAAUAAAACCUACGGAAUUACCAUAAAUGACUAAUAUAUAUAUGACAAUUAAUGAGUUUAAUAAUAAAGAUUUGAUAACAAUGUAUAUCUCCUCCAUCAUUUUUUGUUUAAUUUUAUAUUAUUAAAAUAAAUUAAACAAUCAAAUUAGCUAUAAAAAUAAAAUUUAGAUUUUUUCGUAUAUGUUAUAUUUUGAAUUUUUAAAAACGACAAUAAAUGACUAAAACUAUUAAAAUUAUUAUGUUAAAAAUUAAUGAUCAAUUGUUUUCUAUUGUGACUGGCACGACAACACUCCAGAUCGAGGUGUGAGAACAGAUGCAUUUGGUGUUACAUCAGUAAAUUCAAGACGGAAGCUGCAAUAUUAUGAUCCUUUCAUUCUUGCUUCUCAGGCCGAUCAGGUUUGUUAUAUCAAGUACCCCCGGGUAAGGAACAGAGAUGAUCCAUGGGUUACUGUUACAAGACUCAACCCGAGAGGCCGAGUUCAGGGAAGUUCUGAGCUGGAAGACCCACUACAACCAAGCACAUCCGGCAACUUAAGUGCAGCAGAAGAUUUAGCUGGAGUUGGCCUUGUAGUCGAUUUAACCGACUUUGGAGAGGAAGCCGUCGUUCACGUAGAGGAUGAACCAGUGAUUGGAGAGUUUCACCAAGAUCCAGAUUCAGAUUCAUCUGGUGAUGAUGACUCGGAAACAGACUACCAUUGAAUAUAGAUAUGUGUUUGUUAAACCAUUAUAAAAUAUAAAUUGAUAGAUAUAUUAUAAUUUAUUUUUAAUUUAUUUGUGGCUUUAAACAAAUUUGAAAUGAUUUAAAAAAACAGGUACUAAAAAACAUGUGCAUAUUUGCUUGGAUCAAAAUUUGGCAGCCUUUAUAAUAAAUAUUUUAAGGCAUUUGACAUACGGAAACUCUUUUCAUCUGCUAUCUCUAAUUCAAUAUUUUUUUUAAAUACUGACUGCAUUACUUUCAUCGCAUGAACAACAGCCAGUGUGUUAUCCAACACUUUUAAGCUUUUACGAAAACAUCAUUUUGGAAGCUACAAAUGCUAAUAUUUUGAGACUCUUGACUCUGUUUUAUUUUAAAUUUUGUCAACAGACGACUCUGUCUUAUCUUAGAGUUUUACAUUUCCCGUUCUGAUGAAAACCAUCAUAUUAAAACUUACACAUAAGUCAAAUUAGUGGUUUCAAAUACCGAGUCCGUAAUAUGUAUUUACUGUGUUCGAACGGUUUAAUAUAUCCAUGGAAUAUAUCGUACUAUCUUAUUCACACAACAUUUAUAUUUCGAAUAAGUCAACACAACUGGUGUGUGACAUAACCGCAUAAAAUAAAAUACAUACACCAUAAAUUAUUCUGUCAUAAUUAAUAACUAGAGAUUGACCCGCACGCCCGUGCGGGUGUUAAUUUUUACUUUCUUAUAAAUCGAUAUUUUAUUUUUAUGAUUAGUAUUAUAUAUUUUAUAUGUGUCAUAAUAUAAUUAAUUGCAUAAGUACUUUUAAAUUUCUAUACAUCAUAAUCGAACCUGAAUCAAAUAGAGUAAUAUGAUUACUUUUGGUUAUUUGGUUAUUUUUAGUUUAAUUUGAAUUCAGCAUACCCGAAUUGAAUCGGUUAAUAUUCUUACUUUUCAUAUAAAUAUCCGUACCGGCGUCAAAUACAUUAGUUUUUAGAUAUUUGUAGGUUUGUAUAUAUCAAGACUGAAUUCAUCUGGACCCGAUUCAAAAUACACAUGAAAAUUUUUUAAUACUGAAAUGAAGUCUAGUUUCAAAACUCAAAAAGCAUGAUAACCCAAAGAAAUAACUCGUAACUGAAUAGUUAUCCGAAUGUCCAUGUCUAACCGAUACAUAAGUAAAUUAAAAAAAACAUUUGUUAACCAUUUUGAAUUCUUAUCACAAAUAGAGUGGUUUCAUUCAAAUAUGUCGAAUUAUUAUAGUUAAUAUGUAAAUAAUCCUGGAAAAAUAUUAUAGUAAAUAUAAUUAAUGAGAUAGUUAAAAGUGAGAAAAUGAAUAUAAAAGAUAAAAUAAAAAAAUUGAAAACAAAUAAGUUUUGUUUUUCUUGUCACUAUUAUAUAUCAUAUAUAUGUCAUCAUAUAAUUAAUCAUAUUUUAUAUGUACCAUAAUAUAAGUAAUCAUAUAACUAAUAGUAUUUUAUAUGUACCAUCAUAUAAAUAAUCACAUAUAUUAUAUUUAUAAACCUAAUAUGAAAUAUAAAAACCAUAAUUUAAGUUGGUGUUUUAAUUAAGUUUUGUAUUGUAUUUUUCUUAUAUAUAGUAAAAAUAUUUUUUUAAAUGGUUAUUGGAAAAUAUUUUAGUAAAUUGUUUUUUAAAUAUAUAUAUAUAUAUAUAUUUUUGAAUCAAUUUUUUAUAUAAAUUAGUUUUAAAUUAUUAUUUUGAUUUGAAUUUUGUAUAGUAAUAAUUAAAAGUGAGAAAAAUGAAUGUAAAAGAUAAAAUAAAAAUUGAAAACAAAUAAUUUUUUUUUUGUACUUCUGUAAUAAAUUAUAUUAACUUAUUUAGUAAAUAUAAUAGAUGAAGGGUUAGAAUUGAUUAACAAUAGAAUAAAAAUCUUUUAAAAAAUCAAUUAAGAUAAGUAAGUAUUAUUUUGUACUGCUAUCCAUGUUUCCAAACAAUUCUCAUUUAUACUACUAUCCAAGUUUCCAAACAACUCUCAAAUGUACUUCAGUUUUAAUAAUAUAGAUGAAGCCAAACUAUUGUUUCAUUCUCCAAAAUAUAAUAAAAAUAAUAACUUAAUCCCGCGCAAGGCGCGGGUCUUAUCCUAGUUAUAAGUUAUAACAUCAGAUCUUUAAAAACUGGUCAAAGAAGAAAGUUUUGAAAAAACCUAAUAAGCGAAUCAUUCCAAGAAUUGAUAUUUGUUUCUUUUUGAAGAACCUGCAUCAAAUUUCAUAAAAUAGUCAGCGUAAGAUGAAAGCAAAACCUGAAAACGAAUCACCGAUCUACAGAGACUUUAGGUACUGCCGCUUCCAAUCAAAAUAAGUGGUAUUAGGGGUUGAGACUGGGCCGACAAAAUCACUAUGUGGAGCCUUCUUAGAUCUGAAGCAAAGCAAAUGGUUACUGUAUAUCAAACCAAUAAAAGAAAGUUGAAGAUGAGAGAUGAGGAACUAAAGAGUUACUGGUGUCUUGAUGCAGCUACGAAGACCUGAUUUAUUAAUAUAUAUAGAUUUUGGCCUAUACUGUUCAGUAGACUACUAUCUCAUUGUGAAUAGAUUGAUUCGUUUGGAACAAAAAAAAAAUUCAAUUCUUUUGAUCUUUUUGGCGUAUCCUUCAGUAUCACUUUAUUAUCAAGUAGCAAGAGUAACAACAACAAAAAAACUUCUCUUUUAUUACGGUCUUCAGAGUACUUCUUAUUACAUUGGCCUCGAUCGAUUUUAAAGUACAUUAUUUAUGGAACACACACCAUCACUGCGUAGUGUUAACAUACAUCAACAACCACACUCUUCGCCGUGGUAUAUACACUCCCGAGGGUUUCGUUUGGAAUCUAGUAAGAGGGCCCAGGCAUGGUCUUCUGGAAAGGACAAAUGCUAACUUGCGGGAUGUUGCAAACUUUAGGUAAGUGCGUAGCAGUCUGGUAGAUACGGCUAAUUACUUGCUGCAGCUGCUGUCCCUGCUGUCCCUGUUGUCCUCCUUGUUGUCGAACCUGUUGUUUAACGGCUUUGGAUGCUCCUUUCAAGGUUGGGCAAACGCAGAGUGGCUCUUCCUGGUGAAGCUCGUUGCAGCACUGCUGGAGCAGCGGAGGCCUCUGCUGUGGGCCCUGGGGGUUCUCCAUGUCGUCAUCAAAAUCGAACUCACCGUCAAGGGUCCAGCUAGGACCACUACCGGACUGCAUUGCCUGCUUGUGGAGCCAUUGUUGGCAAGCUCUUAGGUGUUGUGCUUGCUGAAACUCCUUCCUACAUUUUGGAAUCCUAAAUGGGCCGGCUGGGUUUGUGGCAUCUUCAUCGACUUCCACAACCGUCCUGUAGACGGAGGCAUUGGUGAGAAGGAAGAAAAAGGCGAGAGUUGCCGAGACGAGGAAGAGCUUGUUCGCCAUUUGUGUAUGUUUUUAACUUUGUUUGUUAUGAUGAGUUUUGGUUUGAGUAAAGAGUGAAGCUGUUAAGUUAAUUUAUAGGUGAGAAUGGAGAUUUGCAUGGCGAUCACGUGUAAUAAUGCAUGCAUUUGUGUGUGUGCGCUGUGAGAGAUAAGCUCUUAUGUGUUCGAAGUGAGUGACAAGUCACUAACAAAAACAGUCAUCCGCAUCUGCAUGCUAUGUGUGAAGUGUAGCUCAUGUCCUGGCGUGACAUCUUAUGAACAAUAUUCUUAAAACAGAAUGUACAAACUUAACUUCAAAAAAUUUAAAAAAACCUUCAGUAUGUGGGGUAAGAGUCUAUAUAUACUUUGGAGGUGGUGCGGGGGCGGUUGAAAAUAUAUAUUGGGAGCUUAAUCAGAAUUCAGAAAUAGUAAAGAAGAUCUAUGUCAUGGUGGAAACUAAAUGUGUCUCGUAUAAUAUCUAACUAAGUAGUAACCCGCGUUUUGCGCGGGAUUAGAUAUCUAAUAAUAUGUUGAUUGUAUAUAUUAUGAUUAUGUACAACAUAUAAGGUGUAGCUCAAUCUCUAUAAUAUUAUUUGAGAAGUCACUUUCCUAUGUGUCGCUUCCACAUUAAUUAUCAGGAUGGUUGAUUAUACUGAUACCCUUAAUGAAUUUAAAAUAUUAAAUACUAUUAUUUAUUUAUUUUAUUUAGCUUGCUUUUAAAAAAUUUCCAAAAACAUAUACACAUAAUAAAAAGGAAUUUUUAAUAAAGUUAAAAAACGAAUUGAAAAACGAAAGAUCUCUAUAAUAUAACUAGAGUCGGCCCGCCCGAGUAUACUUUUCUUAUGAUUUAAGUUACUAUUUUUAUAUGAUUUUGUGCUUUGUGUUUUGGGUUUGCAUUUGCAAGAAAUGUGUAUAUAAUGAUUUAUGUCUUUAAAAAAGUUUUAGAUGAGAAAAGAUUAUACGUGGUAAGAUAUAUUUUACUUGUUUACAAUAAUUGUUUCUAUAUUAAAGAGUUAUGGCAUUAAUAUAUUGUGAGGGCUUCAAAUGGACGAUUUCAUAUUCGAUGUCAAAAUGGUUUAUUUUUUUCUAAUAUUAAUUCUUGUAUAGAUUAAGUAAAUAUUUUCUUAUUUAAUCUCAUACUCAUCGAUCUAAAUUGAACGGUUAUGGGAUAUUUUAAAUUUUUUGUGUUACAAUUGAAAUAAAAAGCAAAGAAAAACACAUUGGUUAAAUAUUUAAUUGGUUUAAAGAGAAUCAUGAACAGCGAUCCUUCGGAAAAAUAUUAAUUGUAUGUUUUCUAUCUCCUUUUAGAAUUUUUUUUGUCUUUUUAACUUUCUAUAUUGUUACCUCUGUAUACUUUAUAACAUUUAAUUUCUGCAAUUACUUCUUUAAAUACUUAACAUGCAGAUUUUAAUACUUUACUAUGACAUUUCCAUUUCUUUUUUUUUUUACUACAGUUAAUAGUUCUACAAAUAUAAUCACAGCUACAUCAUUCACAAUUUACAUAUUGUAAAAUAUGUAUAUAACUCUGUCAAAACAAUUUUCGUAUACUUAAAUAACUUCAUCCACUGCCACUUUCAAGCUCUCAGAGUUACAAAUCUGAAUUGAUCAUGGGUCUUAAGAUGGAGAGCAAAGCAAACCUGCAAAUAUCGCAGAAAGUUGUUAUGCCGCAGAGAACCACAUAAACCUGUAUACCCUAGUAAUAUAUUUAUAUAUAUGUUGAUAUAUAUAUAUAUAUAUAUAUAUAUAUGAUUUCAUAAAAAAAAGUUCACAAAAUAGUAAUAUUACAUUUAAAAAAUAUUUUUAAUUAACAUAAAAUAUACUUUUGAAAUAAGAAAAUACUUUAUUUAUAUCUAUAUUUUCUUAGAUGAAAAAUAUAAAUUUGUAUAUAAUGUGAUUUCAUUAAAAAUAUUUACACAGAUAAUCUUGAUAUUAGAAACAUAAAUAAUAUUUCUUUUAAAACAUAAUUUUAAACAAUACAAAAAAAAGUUCAAAGUAAUAGAAUUUUUUUUAUAUAUCCAUCUAUUUUCUUAGAUGACUAGGGGACUAGGUAAUAAUCCGCGCGAGCCUUGCGAGGAAUAUGAUUAUUAGUUUCGUUAUUUUUAAUAAAAAGACAUUAAAUCAGUUUAAUCUGGAUAUUAGUUCGGUAUUAAGUUUUUUUUCGUUUUUAAUCUUCUAAAAUAUAACUAUUAUUUUAAAUUAAUAUUCAUUUUAGUAUAUUCGGUUAAAAUAUUUGAAUUUUGGUUUUUUUUCCGGUAAAAACCAAAAUUAAUAUUAUUUAUUUAUUUUCAUGUUAUAAAUUUUAGAUAGUCGUCAUGUCGAACCAAUAGUUUCUAAACAGAUAAUAGUUUAAGAAAAAGAAAAGAAAAUUAUUAAGACAAAUCAUUUCACUACAAUUUGGUCGGUAGUGAAAGAAGCAUUAAGAAAUAAUAUUUCAACUUUUAAAAAAAUUAGAUACUUCAUUUGUGGUGAAUACUUAGUUACAAGGUAUUCACAUCAAGGUGCACAUAUAUGUGUAUGUAAAAAGUAUAUAAAAAUAGUUGACAAAUAUAUAAAUAUAUUGUUAAUUAAUAUUAAAUGAUAUUUUUUUUUCAUAAUAAUUAUGGGUGGGCGUUCGGAUACCCAUUCGGGCUCAGUUUGGAUCUAUUCGCGUUUCGGGUUUUCGGUUUAAAGAUUUCAGCCCCAUUCGGGUAUUUCUAAAUUUCGGUUCGGAUCCUUGCGGGUUCGGUUCGGAUUCGGAUAACCCAUUUAAAUUAUUUUUAAAAUUUUAAUAUUCAUUUUAUGCUUAAAAUUUCUCAAAAUCUAUAAAACAAAAUAAUAUAUUACAUAGAAUUUGUAUAAUAUAUGUCAAAAUAUCUAAAAUUUACAUAUAAAUUGGUUUGAUUUGAAUAUUUUGAUACAAAAUCAAUUGAUAUUUUAAGUAUUUUGGUGCUUUGAAUAUAUUUUAGCUAUUUUAGACAUUUACUUUUGACUAUUUAUGUAUAUUUUCAAGUUUUUUAGACAACUUAAAAAUAUCUUAUAUAUUUUAGAUGUGUUUAAUAUAUAUAUUAAAUCUAAAAAUAAGUAAUAUAUUUAGGUAUAUAAAUCUAUUUCGGUUAUGUUUGGGUACCCGAGAUAUUUCGGUUCGGGUCGGGUUCGGUUUCGAUUCUUUAGAUACCAAAAUAUUGAACCUGUUCGGAUAUUUAAUCAAUUUUGGUUCGGGUUCGGUACUACUUUUUCAGAUCGGGUUCGGUUCAGUUCUUCGGAUCCGGGUUUUUUGCCCAGCCCUAAUAAUAAUACAUGAAAGAUAAAAUUAAAAUUAAUUUAAAAUAAAAAAGGCUUUGACAUUAUUCAUUUUUUAUAUAUAAAGAAAAUAAAUUUGUAUCCGUAAACAGGGGUGGAUACAGAUCAAAUAUCUGGGUAUUUGGAAGCAUUCGUGUCGAUUCGAUCUUUAGCCACCUAGAUAUUUAGUGACUCGGAUAACCGAAAUGUUUUAGAAUUUUUAAAAAUAUAAUAAAUUUAAUUCAUAAAAAAUAUUGUAAAACUGAUAUAAAGUAUAAUAUAUAUAACGUAUAUAUAUAAUUUUUUACAUAUAUGUAUAUAUAGAUAUGCAUAUAACAUAUCGAACUAGAUAUAUGUUCCUAAAAAUAUUGGUAUUUGUGAUUUGCUUCUUUUUUGGAUAUUGUAUUUUAGUAUUUGAUUUGUUUCGUAGUGUUACAGAUAUCCAGAUUUUUUGGUUCAAAUCAAAACAUAUAACGAAUCAAAUCAAAAUUUAUGAAUAUUUUGCUCAAUUUUAUCCGUAAACAAUAAAAAUAAUAUAUAUAUAGUUUAGCUUUUGAUUCGUUAUCUAUUUUUAUUCAAACAAAAAAAUCCAGAGUUUUAUUGAAACUAUGUAUGUGAGUUUUAUAUUAAAAAAAUCGCAAAAUACAUAGUGUGAAUACAUUUAUGAAUAUAAUGUGAACGCGUUAACAUACUUAUUAUCAAAUCAUUGUAAGACUGUCACGUGUCUAGUGUGGAUACAUUUAUUGCAAUGCUUUUUUUUUAAUAUAUAAGGGAUAAAUGCACUAGUGCCUCUUGUGUAACUGUAACCAGGGACGAAUGUGAUGCAGCUCAAUCUCUGAUCGCACACAAUCAACACGAGACUGCCAAGGUUCACGACUCUCUUCCAUAUAGGAAUUUCCUUUUAUAUUAAAGUCGGUUUUAACUUUCCUUUUUAGGUGUUUUCGUUUUCCUUUUAGAAAGAGGAGUUAACUAAUCCUCCUAUAGGUUUAUGUUUUUCGUUUCUAGUAUUUAAAGGGUCCUAAUCAAGCUUGUAAGGUCACGAUUGGUUAAUAUUGAAUACAUCUUUAGAGUUUUUAAAAAGCUUUAACAAGCGCUGCGAAGAGUAUUCGCGUCCUAUUAUCCUUGUGUCCGAGUUACCUUCAAGAACAUGUUACCAAUCUAGUGAUCAAACCCUUGAUCCCUAGGUUUCCUAGCUUCCGCUCUCCAUCAGAAUAUAUAGGUGCACUUGUAGUCUUGUACCCACUAUUUUUUCUAAAAAGAAAUAUUUUCUAAAAAAAUGUUAAAAUCUAACAAAAAUGGGCAAAACUAACCUAGCAACCAGUAUUUUGUUGGUUUGCCUCCUCUGCUUUCACCAUUUUAUUUGUUCUUCUCUUUACAUUUACUUCAAUCAAUGUUAAAUUUAUUUGAUUUAAAAGAAUUUAUAAAAUGGAUGCAACACUAACUAGGCCUAGUAAAAUAAUCAUGUUGAAUUUUCGAAGGGCAUGCUGAUGUUGUUCUCUAUGCUUUCCUCCAUUACGUUUACGCCAAAUAGUGUACACCACUAGAGUCGGGCAUGUAGACAGUAUUAUAAAAAAAAUUGAAUGGAACACCCACUUUACAAGAGCCCUACUACAAAAAUUGUAUAUAUGUAUUUAUAUUUUUGAUAUAAUAACAUAGAUAUAUUAACUGUAAAAUAUUGAUAAAAAAUUUAGUUGAUAAAAAUAUAUUAAAUGAUCUAUACUAUUAUUUGCGAAGUAAUUUUUAGCAACGAAACUCUCACGUUGAAAGUUAGAGUUGUUAAUAUCUAUAUUACUCUUAAUGAAUUUUAUGUAUAUAUAUUAAUUAUAUAAUCAAAAACGAAUUUUGAUUAAUAAUGUCUUAUAUAUUAAAAGAGAAGUCACAACCUUGAUUCAUGUGUGAUUUUUUUAAAAAUGGACUAUCACUAGAAAGAAGUUAUGUUUCAUUUAUUUCUUAGUAACAUUUUGCUAUAAUUAAUUAAUCACAUAAUAAUAAUCGACUAUUAUAACAACUUUUUCCUAUAAAGCCGGCUCCGUUUAUGAAAACAUUUUAACCGAUAAAUCACCUAAUAUAUGUCGAUUUGGAGCUGUGCUUUACGCUCUUGUAUGCCCUAAACCUCCACCCACUGCGACUCCUUAGCAAGUUAAACUCUUUAAAGAAAUAACCUGUCCUUCAGUACUGCGUAAGAGAUCUUCUAUCAAAAGAAAAAUUGUUAGCGAAGCUCAGAAAACGUUUUGUAUCUCUCAUGCUAAUCAGUAUGUUGAAGCUGGAACUUACUUGCGUGUGCACGUUUAACCAAAACGUUCCCCAAGGUACACUGUUAGAAAACUGUUUGAAAAUUGGAAAGCUUUGGUGAUAAUAUUCACUGCACACAUGAUGGAUUGUAUCAGGUAUUAUGAAAUUGACUGGAAGUCGCGGAUUAUUGCUGUGACUGACUCUUCUUAUGUCGUUUUGGAUAAACUUGCCGGGACUACGGUACUUUUAUUCAUCCAUUGCACUAUCUCUUCUCAAUGUUCUUGACCACUGUAGUUUCACUAGAGAUCUUUAAAGAACUUUCUCUUGUGAAUAUUGUUAGUCUCAGUUUUAUACAUUUUGGGAUUGUACCAGAAUGUAUUUUUGUGUUCUAUUUCUUGGUAAUGAGGAUCGAAAAACAAUUCAUUCGAUCUUAAAACUUUAGAUACUAAAAAGCCAGGGUUCUCAGUGAUUCAGUGUGCUGACCCACAUGACCACAAUAAUUCAGUUUCUCAGGUUGGGGAAACCACAGAUAAUAUCGAAGAGAGCUGUGCGACAUUUUCCUUAUGUGCAUUAGAUUCCGCAGAACCACUGAAACAACACAUCAGAUUGAUAACUGCACAAAAGGCUGUACUUUCCCUUUUAAAACUUUUCUGCUUCAUACUUUUGCAGAUUUUUUUACUAAAAUUUGUAGAUUUAACUUCUUGAAAUGACCAGGUCGCAUUGCUUUUUUACUUUCUCUGUAGUAUAAUCUUUGCUAGGACAAAAGAGUAUUGAUCGGUCUUCCUCACAGAAAUACGAGUGAGUUUGCUUUGCUUCUAUUUCGUUUGACUGGAAAAUCAAGAAGACAUGGUGAAAUAUUUCAUUAUUUUCUAUAUGUUUUUACUUCUUUUCAAGAAUAAGGAGGUGAGGAAACUUCGUCGUGCUGUUGAGUCUUGAUACGGCCGUUGUAGUUCGAACUCUAACGGUCUAACCUAUGAUAAGUGGAAUAAAUCCUUGAUUUGUUUAUAGUUAUGAGUUUGGUUUUGCUGUGUACUUGGUCAUUUCAUAGCUCAGACCCAACAUAUAUACCCUCUCAUCCGACCACCAAAUAAUAUCCCAUCCAACCCAACACCUACAAUACAAUAUUAAGCUUCUUGAAUUAAGUCCUACUUAUUGAGUAACUAGCCUCUCUAUUUUGACUUGGGGUGCAUUGAACAACUCUGAUUAGUUAUUUCUUCAAAAUGAUUCUCAAUAUUUGUCUAUUGUGUAAUAUUUUAACUCGGUGUUUCUUAUAUUUUUAAAUUAAAAUAAAUUUAAAAAUAAAAUUUAUUAAUAUUGUAGAUUUUAUUAUUUUACCAAGUUUUAAUAGAAAUUUUAUUUAAUUAAGCAUUAUUAUUAAAAUUAAAAAUAAUUUUGCUUAUUUUAAAAUAUAUUUAAGAAUAUAUAUAGUUCUAUAUUAAAAAUAAUAAUCUUCGCUAAAAUUUUAUCUAUUUAUUUUGGUUAAAUAUAUUAAAUCAACCUUUUUUUUUGAAUUAAAUCAACCUUUAUAAAACUAAUAAAAUGAUAUACAAUUGUAUAAUUAUCAAAAAUAAAACUAAACAAUAUUUAUAAAGAAAACUUAGAUAUUAUAAAAGAAACUAAUGAUAUUACGAUUAAAUUUUGCUUAAAAUAAUAUAGAACGUUUUAAAAAAAUUAGUAAUAAAAAUUGUAUAAUUAUAAAAAUAGAAUAAAUCAUCUUUAGAAAUUUAGAAAAUCAUAUCUGAAUAUAUUUAUUUUAACAAUGAUGUAUGAAUUAUUACCAUAUUUUGAUAUACGAGUUAUUAUUAUAUUCUAAAAAUUUCAAUAUUUUAAUACAUUAGUAAUACGUUAAAUAUUUUAAUAUUAUAAUAUAUAUCACGAAUGUUGCAAAAAAAAUGUUUACGUAAUGGAAAUAAAUACCCGCGCUGUUGCGCGGGUCAAGAUCUAGUUAACUUGUUAAAACAAUAAGAUAAUUCUUAUAUAUUAUGUUGUUAUCUUAAAACAUAUGUUUCAAUUAUAAAUUUUAAAAAUAAAAUAUAAAACAAAGUUAGAGUGGUUAAUAUCUAUAUUACCCUUAAUGAAUUUUAUGUAUAUAUAUUAAUUAUAUAAUCAAAAACGAAUUUUGAUUAAUAAUAUUAACUUUUUAAAACAAUAAGAUAAUUCUUAUAUAUUGUGUUGUUAUCUUAAAACAUAUUCUUAUAUAUAUAUGUUUUAUUUUAAAAAAUAUAUAAAACAAUUAAUAAAUUUUAAUUAAACAUAUAUAUUUAAUUAACUUUGUUAUAUAUAUUUAUGUUUUAUUUAAUUUUUUGAAAACAUAAAUAAUAAGUUAUUAUGCUGAUUUUGAAUUAAAAAAAAUAAACUAAUAAAUAGUUGUAAAACGAUUAAGCCUGCAUAUGCGGGCAAGACACUUAGUUUUGUUAUUAUUAUUGUAGUUUAGAUAUAAAUAAGUAAUAUACUACAAAAUUAUGUUUUUGUAAACAAAAUUUUAUUUAUAAAUUUUACAAAAAAAUUAAAUAAUUAAUAAAUAUUUUUUCGAAUAAAGUCGCGGAAAUCGUUUUUUUAAAAGAAAUCUUAAGACCCACCACUCCGUGAAAGGAUGCAACUAACAAAGAGGGAGGGUCAGCUGACCCCACAAAAUAAUUAUUAAACAUUAAAGAUAAAUUUAAUUAUACAACUAAAAUAUUUAUACAUUUUUAUCUUUAAAACUUAAGAUAUGUUAGUUUUAAUCUCAUUUUUUUAUAGUUAAAAAAAAUUAUAACGCUGAUAUAAGAAAAAAAAAAUUCUGAUCUGGUAUAAAAUAUUUCGGGCUCCGGCGGACUGCAUGAAACAUGUAUUGCAAUGUAAAGAGAAUGGUAAUGUCCCAACCAUCAUCCACCAAGAAGAGUUGAACAAUAUAUAGUAUCCCAGCGGUUAGAGUAUUUAGCAUUUAUUAAAAGUUAUAGAUGAUCAAUGGUACAGAAAUUUACUACCUUUGCUAUCAAAGUACUGUUUAUAAGUAAAGGCAACAUCAGUAAUUAAUAUUUGCAGGAAUUUACAGAUGCAUGGUGAUCAAAAAGAGUUUCGAAGUAUCUGAUCAUACCAGAUUAAUUUGAGUCAUUGGUUGAUCCCAGUGGAUAAUCUUUUAUUAUUGGCCUCGAAGGCUUUAAUUAACAUUUAGUCUAUUCUGUUCAUUGGACUACUUGUGAAUAGAUUAAUUGUUCUGUUCUUUUUGGCGCAUCCUUAAUUAUCACUUUUUAUGAAGUAGCAAGAGUAACAAAAAUUAAAAAACACCUCUUUUAUUACGGUCUACGAGUAGUUCUUAUUACAUUAGCCGCGAUUUUAAAGUACAUUAUUUAUGGAACACAUACCAUGGCUGCGUAGUGUUAACAUACAUCAACAACCACACCCAUCAUCGUGGUAUAUACACUCAGAGGGUUUCGUUUUGAAUCUAGUAGGAGGGGCCAGGCAUGGUCUUCUGGAAGGGACAAACGCUAACUUGCGGGAUGUUGCAAACUUUAGGUAAGUGAGUAGCGGUCUGGUAGAUUCGGCUAAUUACAUGCUGCAUCUGCUGUCCCUGCAUUUGUCCCUGUUGUCGAACCUGCUGUUUAACGGCUUUGGAUGCUCCUUUCAAGGUUGGGCAAACGCAAAGUGGCUCUUCCUGGUGGAGCUCGUUGCAGCACUGCUGGAGUAGUGGCGGCCUCUGUUGUGGGCCCUGGGGGUUCUCCAUGUCAUCUUCAAAAUCAAACUCACCAUCGAGGGUCCAGCUAGGACCACUACCGGACUGCAUUGCCUGCUUGUGGAGCCAUUGUUGGCAAGCUUUCAGGUGUUGUGCUUGCUGAAACUCCUUCCUACAUUUUGGAAUCCUAAAUGGGCCCGCUGGGUUUGUGGCAUCUUCAUCGACUUCCACAACCGUCCUGUAGACGGAGGCAUUGGUGAGAAGGAAGAAAAAGGCGAGAGUUGCCGAGACGAGGAAGAGCUUGUUCGCCAUUUGUGUAUGUUUUUAACUUUGUUUGUUAUGAUGAG
RNAcentral lists this long non-coding RNA (22150 nucleotides) under Brassica napus (rape). RNAcentral describes it as "long non-coding RNA (BNAP_LNC008546)". Lineage: Eukaryota; Viridiplantae; Streptophyta; Magnoliopsida; Brassicales; Brassicaceae. The record is from RNAcentral.